GACGUAGGGGGCGAGCGUUGUCCGGAAUUACUGGGCGUAAAGAGCACGUAGGCGGGAACUUAAGUCAGGUGUGAAAGACCGAGGCUCAACCUCGGGUAUGCACUUGAAACUGGGUUUCUUGAGGGCAGGAGAGGAAAGCAGAAUUCCUGGUGUAGCGGUGAAAUGCGUAGAAAUCAGGAGGAAUACCAGUGGCGAAGGCGGCUUUCUGGACUGACCCUGACGCUGAGGUGCGAAAGCGUGGGUAGCAAACAGG
RNAcentral lists this ribosomal RNA (253 nucleotides) under uncultured bacterium. Its description in RNAcentral is "partial 16S ribosomal RNA". It matches the Rfam family "Bacterial small subunit ribosomal RNA", at positions 524 to 776 of the family's 1533-position model. The record is from RNAcentral.